This 5418-nucleotide long non-coding RNA is filed under the name Homo sapiens (human). RNAcentral describes it as "HSALNT0269004". The record is from RNAcentral. Lineage: Eukaryota; Metazoa; Chordata; Mammalia; Primates; Hominidae.
AUGGAGUUCAGACAUGACUGGGGAAAGCAGCCUUAUAUAAAACACUAAUACUUAUUAAUUUGUGAUAAGAGGAGAUGCCUAAGGUAUUAAAAGCACAAAUACUAAAAGGGAUUAACCUACGCUUAAGGACUGCCAAGUUUUGUUAUUGUUCAGACACACUCAGAGUCAAUUCUAGGACACAUUUUUCUGGGUAUUAGGGCACAUUCUGGGUGCAGAAUAUUUUGCCUCUUAGAUAUUCUGAAACCUCUCUUUAGAACUUCUAAACAGUUCUAUUUACUCCUAUUAUCUAAGAAUAUCAAAUAUAUGUGCAGCCCAGCCAGAUACAUGCCAACACACAGCAUCGGCAAGUAGCAAUCAGGUAAAUGUUAGAUACGUGAGUGGUUGAUAAAUAAACAUUUUAUACGCUAAACAGCGAUAAACUACAAUAAAUAAAUGGGUUUAAUAUGGUUAGAUACACAAAACUAUUUCAGGGAGAUAAACGGCAGUGGGCUAACGAACAACGAAGUACAGAGGGGGAACAAACAAACAAAUUCUAGAAAGAAAGAGAAGAAAAAAGGAGAAAAUUUCCCUCCAGGGAUUUCUGAAAACAUCAACAGCAUCAUUCUUACUGCGUUCUCAGUAUAUGUCAGGUCUGCUAAUCUGUUGUAAGCUAUAUUCUCUACAGACAGAUAUAACACCAGAGAGCACAUUAAGACCACCUAUUUCUAUUUCCCUGACACCUGACUUCUUCUGCAGUCCGCCUCCAUGGCAAAGAGGGAAUCUGAGGGCUUAUCAAAUAUGCAAUCUCACUGCAAGCCGUGGCUGAUAUUCUUAAACUUUGCAUAAAUCUGGAAUUUGAAAAUUAUGGGUCCUGCCAAGUUAACUUGUGCCUUCCACCCUUGCCCUGUCCUUUUCUCAGGCCCCAAACCAAGGGUUACAAAGAAUCCAAUAUCUUUGAUGAAGACUAUUAAAAAAUAAUAGGUUAUUUUCAAGCUUGUUCAUGUAAUCUCAGUAGAUGGGAUUUAUGUUACAUCAAAAACGUAUUUCCAGCUGGGUGUAGGGGCACACGCCUUUAAUCUCAGCACUUUGGGAGGCUGAAAUGGGCAGAUGACUUGUGCUCAAGAAUUCCUGGUCUGGAAUUCCUGACCUGAGCAAUGUGGUGAAACCCCAUCUCUACAAAACAUACAAAAAUUAGCAAGGUGUGGUGGUGCACACCUGUAGCCCCUGCUACUCAGGAUUGCUUGAGCCCAGGAGGUUGAGGCUGCAGUGAGCCAUGAUCAUACCACUGCACUCCAGCCUGGGCAACAGAGUGAGACUCUGUCUCAAAAACAAACAAAAAACCAACAAAAAAUGAAUUUCUUAUUAGGAUUAUCCCUAAUCUGAAUAUGAUUCUGAGAGUAAUUGGAAGGAAGGAUAGAAAAAGUAGAAGACAAGUGAAGGGGCAGAAGAGAUAUAUGUCCUUCCAGUCAAAACUGAGGCAUUAAAAUGGACUUAAGGCAGUUCAGUUGCACAGGAUUUCACUCUCAGAAGGGGCUCUGUGGUUGCUGGCUUGAAGAACUUCUUAAUAAUUUUAUCUGUGAAUUUGUGUUUUGUUAACUGAAGUCCAGUGGGACAUAGGACAUGAGCUAGGGGCUUGGAGCAUGGGCUCCUGUGUGGUUCUGCUCUCCCUGCUCCCUAAGCAGGGCUCUCAGCUGGCCCCUCCCUGCCCUCUGGUGACCUGGGCCCUACCUGUCUUCCUCCCUUGUCCCUGUCUUGCUCCUAUUACCUGGUUUUGCCUGGGUGGCAACUGGGUCAUAUAGGUGAGGGAAGGCCCAUAUUCUGCCAUGGUUCUCAGUUCUUGAUGAGGCCGGGACAUGGGUGUGGAGACAGUCAGGGUUAGACACGUGCCCUCAGCAUCUCAGGAUGGGGCAAGGCGGUGGCAGCACCAAGGCAUGGUAGGUGGGGCCUCUUGCCCAUCCCUGACCCAGGUGGUGGGAUGACCCCCAAGGAUUGUAAGCUCUGCAUCAGGUACCAGAGCGUGCAAUCUCUGGGGGUCAUCCCACAACCCUGAGUUAAGGUGGGGGCCUGAGGGAAGGAAACACUGACUUUCCUGGCUCGAUCUGGGGUCUGCAUUUCCAUUUUGCACUGGGCCCCUCUAGUUGGCCUUGGGUUAGAGAAAUAACAUGAAAAUAUUUAGGGCUGUGAAUGUCUUCCACUCCCUCUUGGAAUCAACCCUGGUGGAGUCACUGAGGCUUUGCACCAAUGUUCCAGGUCUCUUCUCUGCAGAUGUGCUGGAAUUACACUUUGAUGUCCUCUCGAAGUUACGUGGGCCACCUGACUUGCUUUUCCAUUCUGGGAGGAGAUUUAAGAGCUGAUUCAUAUCUUCUUUCUCUCUGUCAUGAAUUCCAGAUCUGAACACUCUCUCAGAUGGAAUGUUGAGUUCUGAAGGUUAUGCUAAAGGGAUAGAGAAGAAGGGCUGCAGCAAGUGUGAGCAGCAAGAGAGGGCCGGAGAAAGUCUGGGAUUUAUUGGAACAUGUAUGGGAAUUUGGCUGUGGGCAUGAGGGUCACGGUGGGCUGAAAAAUAAAAAUUUGGCUGUCCUUGAAAACAACAGCAGCCGCAACUACAUCCACAACCAAAGAAUGAUUCUUUUAGAAAGGGAAAUAUCGAUGAAACUCCAUUGCAACACUGCAAAUAAAACAAAGGGAGAAUUAAAAUUCUGUGCACAAUAUUGCAGUACUUUCUGGAGGGAUGAGCUCAAAAGAGAAAUCACAGGAUGGGCCAUGCAACUACGUCUUCAGGUCCAGCUAGGGUUGGCCAAAGCAAAUUGAAAGAGAUGGGAGUGAGUGGGAGAGGAGGAGCUCCAGGGAGAAAAUGAGAAGGACUCUUCCAAAGAGGUUGGUAAUGAAAGAUAAGAGAGAGAUAGGGUGGAUUGAGAAAGAAGCAUAGGUCUAGAGACAGGCGGAGAGACCGACAGACAGAUGAUAGGUGAUUGAGACAGACACACCCUCCCAUGAAAUUAUUACCUGAGAGUAGAUGAGCACUUCCUGUGGGCCAAUAAUCUUCUAAGAGCUUUAGCUCUAACUCAUUUAAUCCUUGCAAAACCCUAUAAAGUAGAUACUAUAUUUAAGCUCAUUUUAAAAUGAGAAAACUGAAGUACGGAAGUGUAUUUUUGUAUUUCAGUUAUUUGUCUAUUUGUUGAAAAGAGAGAUUUGAGAAUGUUUGUAUGGAGAGAGGAGAAGUCAGGAGAGGAGAAGUCAGGAGAUGAGAGGGUGGGAAUUCAAGAGGUCCAUUUGGAAUACCUCCAGCUGAAAAGAGAUAAUGAAAAAAUCCCAAGAACUGUCCUGAGUUCUUGGAGGGUAGAGGGUGGAGGGGCAGAAGGGAGAGUUGUGUAUUCUUCAGAAACUGCAGGGAAGGAAGAAAAAGAAAUUAAUGGUAUGAAAUUGUUGGCGAACCAGGGACACUGAAGGUAGAGACUCAGCAGCCUGUUUGCUUUUGUUUCUUAAAUAAAUCACAUUGGAUGUGGGGCUCUGUUACUCUUGAGGAUGUGAUACAGAUUCUUGGUUGUGGGAAAACUCAAAUUAAUCAUAAAACAGGUCUUGGAUAUUGAGGAGAGAUUAAUCAUCUAGAAAUAAACCAAGGAUGGAUUAUUUCAUCUCUUUGGGUUGUGCUCAAAUAUGCAUCCAAUCCUACUGGAUAUUGGAGCCAUAUGGAACCCUUUUUGGUACACCUGCUAAUGGAGACUUCCCAAAAGGGAUGCUCUGAAGUCACAGUCUGCACUCAUGAUAUUCAGAAAGAAUUCUCAGAACUUGUCGACUACCUGUGCUGCCCUUUGUGUUGAGGGUAACACGUACCGUCUUCCAGCUAUAAUUGUAAAAACCUAGUCCUCCUCCUCAGGGCGGCUUGUUUUUAAGAGUUGUGGAAUGUGGAAUACAAGCCUUUCAUUUAAAAAAGAAAAUGCCUCCAUGUGCAUAACUUACAUUAUCCAGAACAUGACAGAAAGCACAGAGGAAAAUAAUUCUGUCUUACUCCCCUCAUAAAAAUGGCAGCAUUUUCAAGCUCAGACUCUCUCUGGCUCUGUGUAUGUGUAAUGCCAAAGAGCCUCUCUACUUUUUGCUGCUUUAUCCUAAAGUUGUGGUUCUCAACAGGAGUAAGAGUAAACAUGAGUGGUUGGGAUGCAUUUAAAAAUUCAGAUUCUCAGGUCUCAUCACCAGAAUUUCUAAUUUGGUAAGUCUAAACUGAAGCCUAGAAAUCUACAUUUUAAUCAAGCUCCCCAUGGGGAAGAGAGAUUAUGUUUAGAAAAAUUAAAAACAAAACAAAACAUUGUUCCACAAGUUCUGACAAAUAACAAAUCUUACCCUGAAUUGUUCUGGUAAGAAGUGCAGGACCUGCCUUUAAGAAAUUAGAGGGUGCAAAAGAUCAUCUCUUUCUUAACUGAAGGACUUGGGGAGCCAGAAAGAAAGAGGAGUUUCUGAAAGAGGCUCUCCUUUCAUUAAAUUAGAAGAAUUCAAAUCAACAAAUAUUCCACAGGGGCCCCCUACACUCUCCCUACUCUAUUAAUACUUCUGCACAUGGAACAGACAUGAAGAUACGGUCUCCCACCCAUGACCUGUUGGGAAGAUACGUGCGGCACCCACGUGUAUGCACACACAUGGGAAUGAACUAUAAUUAUGACAACUACUCUCCACAGGUUUUCAGGCUGCUCAUAUUUCAGACCUCUGGACCCUUGUCCUAGAUGCUAUUACACACCAUGUCCUGAUUUUGGCUCAGAAAAUGUAGUCAAUGAAAAUAUGCUACAAGAAAACUGAGAUGGAUGUUCAAACCUCUCCCAUAGAGAAGGCUUCAGGUUAGGAGGUGCUGCUUAUGGCAAACAGAGGCGAGGUGGUGCUGCUUUUGUUACGUGACAGAUGCUUUUUUCACAAAUUCUCACACUAGCCCUCUGAGGCCCUCAUGGACUCCACUAUGAUAUCUGUUUUAUAGAUGAGGAAACUGAGGCACAGAGAAGUUGCAGUAACUUGCCAAUCACAUGGCUGGCAGGUUGAGGAGGAGAAAUUAAGCUCAGGAUAGCUCCAGAGUUUAUGUUCUCAACCAUGAUGAUAGACUUGAAGCCUUCUGCCAAAGAACCCACUGGGCUAUGGCUUGAAGGGAGAGGGAAUUUUGGCAGAUGCAGGGCUGUGGGAGAAGGUCAAGUCAUCUGCAUGUCCAUAUUCUAGGGCCUGUUCUGGGCACCAGGACCCUACAGUGAACUGGGCCUAAAAGGAAACAGCAACGGGAAAGAUACAGGCAGAGGGCUUGCUCCUGGAGCAUUUUAGAAAGUGUGAGAAGGGCCAGGCGCGGUGGCUCACGCCUGUAAUCCCAGGACUUUGGGAGGCCGAGGUGGGCGGAUCACUUGAGGUCAGGAGUUCAAGAUCACCCCGGCCAAUAAGGUGAAACUCCGUCUCUACUAAAAAUACAAAAAUUAG